GCUGUAUGGUGGCAGUUGGUUAAGUAACGGUGACUGCACUCUAAGUCGAUGGGUGGAGGACGGAUUGAGAAGGAUGCUGGACUUAUAGACUGAUGGAUGCCAGAUGAACUGUGGGCAAUAGGCGGUGGGUGCCUGGUGGGUGGCUGAAUCGUGGAGGUGUAGAUGGGGGUGGACAAACAGUGUGUGGGCGACUGUGAUGGAUCCAGCCACAGGGGAUGGGUGGGUAGAUGGAGGAUAACUGUGGAGGAUGCAGGAUUUGCAGGAUUGAUGGGCGGGUCAUGAGUGGUGGGCAAGUGGAUGUCACUUGGAAGUUGGAUGGUGGCUGUAUGGUGCACGAGUGGGGAGCAGAUGGCAAAGAAAUGGACAGUUGCUACCUGGAUGGAUAAUGGGGUGUGGAUUUUACCACCUACCUGGAAGUGUUGACAGAAGAAAAAGAAAACAGAUGCAAGAAAGGAUCUCCCUAGGUUAUCCAAAGUUUGAGGCUGACCUCAAACUUACGAUCCUCCUGCUUCAGCUUCCCUGAGUAGCUGAGACUACAGGCAUGUGCCAGUGCACCCAACACCGUUGCUAAAUAUUUGAUGGAAAGCUGUCACACGGUGAGUAAUGCGUGGACAGGUGGCAGAUACAUGCACGGUGAAUGAAUGUUGGACGGAUGGGCGUGUCCAGGAGGUACUGGUGCUUGGUACCUUGUGGGUGUGGCUCUCUGGGCAGACGGG
Molecule: long non-coding RNA, 716 nt
Organism: Heterocephalus glaber (naked mole-rat)
Lineage: Eukaryota; Metazoa; Chordata; Mammalia; Rodentia; Bathyergidae
Source: Ensembl